UUGGGUCCUGAGCUUAUUUCAUGUGGUUUUCCUGACCUGCUAGAAGUUCUUCUAUGAUGCCUGAGAGAGAGAGAGAGAGAGAGAGAGAGAGAGAGAGAGAGCUUCGUCUUGACUUUGUCAUGAAUUUGGUGAGGAGUGGAGCUGGCUGGAUGUGGACGAGGAAGUAGGGAAACAUAUACAUG
Long non-coding RNA from Dicentrarchus labrax (European seabass), 182 nucleotides. RefSeq lists it as uncharacterized. The record is from RefSeq and is a predicted model, not a curated record. The transcript has 3 exons. Lineage: Eukaryota; Metazoa; Chordata; Actinopteri; Moronidae.